UCAAGCUACAAGGGUGUAUGGUGAAUGCCUUGGUGCCAGAAGUCGAUGAAAGACGUGAUAAGCUGCGAUAAGCUACGGGUAGGAGCAAAUAUCCUUUGAUCCGUAGAUCUCUGAAUGGGGGAACCCUUACAGGUGAGAGCCUGUAAAUCAUCACUUGAAGGUUAAGCCUUCGGGCUUGAAGAUAGGGUGAUAGAAGACAACGUAGGGAAGUGAAACAUCUCAGUACCUACAGGAAAAGAAAUCAACGAGAUUCCCUGAGUAGUGGCGAGCGAAAUGGGAACAGCCUAAACCAACUCCCGCACAGUGUACAUUACGGUGUACAGUGUGCGUGGGUUGGGGUUGCAGGGCUUGCGAUAUGGAAUGUGUUGACGGUUAGUUGAAUGGUCUGGAAAGUCCAACCAUAGCGGGUGAUAGUCCCUUAAACGAAAACUGAAGACCUCCUAGCGAGUACCUAAGUAUCACUGGUCACGUGCAAUCCGGUGAGAAUCUGGGGAGACCACUCUCCAAGGCUAAAUACUCUCUGGCAACCGAUAGUGAACCAGUACCGCGAGGGAAAGGCGAAAAGAACCCCGAGAGGGGAGUGAAAUAGAACCUGAAACCGUACAUCUACAAGCUAUUGUAGCACUAUGCCCGCAAGGGAAUGUGCGACAGUGUGCCUGUUGAAGAAUGAUCCAGCGAGUUAAUGUGCCGAGCAAGGUUAAGGGCUGAAGAGGUCCGCAGCCGUAGUGAAAGCGAGCUCGAAUAGAGCGAUUAGUUCGUCAUAUUAGACCCGAAGCCAAGUGAUCUAACCCUGUCCAGGCUGAAGUUCGCGUAACAGUGAAUGGAGGGCCGGAGUGUUAAACGUUGAAAAGUUUCUACAUGAGGUGGGGUUAGGGGUGAAAGGCCAAUCGAACUUGGUGAUAGCUGGUUCUCCCCGAAAUAGCUUUAGGGCUAGCGUUGAAAUUUAACCCGAGGGGGUAAAGCACUGGUAGAUUUAGGGGGAGCGACCCUCCUUCCGAUGUCUGUCAAACUCUGAAUACCUCGGCGUAUAUUUCAGCAGUCAGUUCGUGAGGGAUAAGCUUCACGUGCGAGAGGGAAACAGCCCAGACCGUCAAUUUAGGUCCCAAAAUGUAUGCUAAGUGGUAAAGGAUGUAGAUUUACUUAAACAGCUAGGAGGUUGGCUUAGAAGCAGCCACCCUUUGAAGAGUGCGUAAUAGCUCACUAGUCGAGUGAAUCUGCGCCGAAGAUGACUCGGGGCUAAGCAUACUACCGAAAUUACGGAUUGUACAUUGAUUCGUCUUUGUACAGUGGUAGGGGAGCGUUAUUAGCAGCUGCGAAGGUAUACCGUAAGGAGUGCUGGAGCGCUAAUAAGUGAGAAUGCUGGAAUGAGUAGCGAUAAGGAAGGUGAGAAUCCUUCCCGCCGAAAAUCUAAGGUUUCCUUGAGCAACGUUCGUCGGCUCAGGGUCAGUCGGGCCUAAGCUCAGGCCGAAAGGCGUAGGCGAAGGACAUCCGGUUAAUAUUCCGGAACCAUAGUAAGCGCGUCAUAACCUAGGGAGGGACGCAGGAGAGUAAACCCGUUGGCUACAUGCCAAUGAAAGGCCGUAGGCAUCUUCGGAUAGGCAAAUCCGUCCGGAGGCUAAGCCGAAAACCGAGACUAGAGACCGUAAGGUUUCAAAGGGGUCCAAUCACGCUGCCUAGAAAAACUUCGUAGGGAGUUCUUACUAUGACCGUACCGUAAACCGACACAGGUGGAUGGGGUGAAAAUCCUAAGGCGCGCGAGAUAACCAUCGUCAAGGAACUAGGCAAACUAGCUCCGUAACUUCGGAAGAAGGAGUGCCUGAUUACUGGUGUAGCAAUACAUUGGGAAAAGGCCGCAGUGAAAUGGGCUUCGUUAUAGGGCCUGAUGCCUGCCCGGUGCCGGAAGGUCAAGGGGAGUGGUUAGCCGCAAGGCGAAGCUGCGAACUUAAGCCCCGGUAAACGGCGGCGGUAACUAUAACCGUCCUAAGGUAGCGAAAUUCCUUGUCGGGUAAGUUCCGACCUGCACGAAUGGCAUAACAAAGAAGCCGCUGUCUCGACGGUGGGCUCGGCGAAAUUGUGGUUCAAGUGAAGACGCUUGAUGCAUGCAACAAGACGAAAAGACCCUAUGGAGCUUUACUGUAGCUUGUUAUUGGAUUACGGUCUUCAAUACGUAGUAUAGCUGGGAGCCUUUGAUACAUUCCUUGCGGGGGGUGUGGAGGCAACAGUGAAAUACCAGCUUUUGUGGAUUGUGGUUCUAACCUAUUACCCGUGAAUCCGGGUUGGGGACAGUGGCAGGUGGGCAGUUUGACUGGGGCGGUCGCCUCCUAAAGAGUAACGGAGGCGUUCUAAGGUUCCUUCAGGCCGUAUAGAAAUCGGCCAUUGAGCGCAAAGGUAGAAAGGAGCUUGACUGUGAGGACGACGGUCCGAACAGGUGCGAAAGCAGGACUUAGUGAUCCGGUGGUCCCUCGUGGGAGGGCCAUCGCUCAACGGACAAAAGCUACCCUGGGGAUAACAGGCUGAUCGGGCCCAAGAGUUCACAUCGACGGCUCGGUUUGGCACCUCGAUGUCGGCUCAUCACAUCCUCCCGCUGAAGCAGGUGGGAAGGGUUGGGCUGUUCGCCCAUUAAAGUGGUACGUGAGCUGGGUUCAGUACGUCGUGAGACAGUACGGUCUCUAUCUGUUGUAUGCGCAGGAAACUUGAGAGGAGUUGUCCAUAGUACGAGAGGGCCUGGAUGAACGAACCUCCUGUAUAUCAGUUGUCUGUAAACAGGCAUAGCUGAUUAGCGGUGUUCGGUAGGGAUAAACGCUGAAAGCAUAUAAGCGUGAAACCCGCCUCAAGAUAAGGUUUCCCUGGUAGAUUAACUACCCAGAAGACCCCCGGAAGACUACCGGGUUGAUAGGCAGAGUGUGUAAGCACAGUAAUGUGUUCAGCUAAUCUGUACUAAUAGGUCGUGAGGCUUGGCCGU
RNAcentral lists this ribosomal RNA (2962 nucleotides) under uncultured Elusimicrobium sp. RNAcentral describes it as "bacterial LSU rRNA". It matches the Rfam family "Bacterial large subunit ribosomal RNA". The record is from RNAcentral. Lineage: Bacteria; Pseudomonadati; Elusimicrobiota; Elusimicrobia; Elusimicrobiales; Elusimicrobiaceae.